Molecule: unclassified non-coding RNA, 25 nt
Filed under: Mus musculus (house mouse)
Lineage: Eukaryota; Metazoa; Chordata; Mammalia; Rodentia; Muridae
Description: oocyte_clustered_small_RNA8611
Source: RNAcentral
ACUCACGCUGACUGACCUCAUCUAG